AUGAGGGGUAAUCUGAAUCACAACCUUUCUAACAGUAGAGUUUCACUUCACUCUGAUCACUCAACUAAUUCAUUUCGUUCUGUACCUGAGGCACCCCCAAGACCGCUAUCACCAAAUGUUUUUGUUCGGAGACCGCCUCACCAAAUGUCACCGUCUCCUGUGAUAGAAGUAAUAACGGCAACCCACCCAGUCUCUAAUCGCUUCACUACCGACCCGCCCACUACUAACCAGCAUCUGCGUAAUUGUGAUGAUCUCAAUUCUGGCAUUGUCGUGCGUCCUGCGGAUGAAUAUCUGCAAACCCAGAUUGCAGAUCAACAACGAAUGAUGAUGCAAAUGACUGAACAAAUGGCUAAGCUCCAGACCACUGUUACCCAGGCUUUUGAGGAAAUUAAGAGCGAAGUUCCCUUAUUAGUUCAAGAACAGCUUGAUAGCAAAAUGUCAGAACCAUCAAACUCGCCUAAGCCGUUCUCGGGCGCUGCGCUUGAACAGUCUCCGUACCGAGGAAAUUGUGCAACUGUAGCACCAUGUCAUAGUGAUUCCAUCAAAUUUAAAGAUCUGCCAAAUUUCAAUGGAACUCUUGAGGGUAUCCACCCGAAAGAAUUCGUGAGUGAGCUUGAUGCUUACUACAGUUCGUCACGUAAAUCAGACCAAACCAAAUUAUUCGAGGUUGGAAGAUUGUUCAAGGGCAGUGCACGAGAAUGGUUUAAGGUGAAUCAAAACCGGAAUAAGUUUGUAUCCUUUGAAGAUUUUAAAUCUGAGUUCCUUCAAUUCUUUUGGGGUCCGGAAAUACAGAGUUCCGUAUUUGAUACAUUCGUAUCAUCAAAUCAACCUGCCCCAACCUAUGGUAAUUUGUCUAAUUAUUUCCUCUCUCGAGUCCGAAACAUGCAAUACCUUGAUGUUCCGGCACCUGAACCAUAUGUAAUCGCACCUAUUGUGAAUCAGCUUCCAUACGACGUAUGCUCAGCUAUAAUGCUGGCUAAAGCUAGCACCAUUGAUGAUGUCUUAAGAAUUUUACGUGGCUUUGAUCAGCUCGGCUCGAGACAGAAACCUAGCGGCUCUGCAAGCCAGCACCAACAGCCAAAAUUCCAACAGCCCACCGGAAAUUUGAACACUUUUGCUCAUAAAAAUGUAAAAACUGCAGAGAUAAAUGUUGGUAAUGGUCCUGAAUCGUUCCCAUCGGAUCCUUUAAACUAG
This 1194-nucleotide long non-coding RNA is filed under the name Bemisia tabaci. RNAcentral's name for it is "lncRNA ENSSSA1NGG003072". The record is from RNAcentral. Lineage: Eukaryota; Metazoa; Arthropoda; Insecta; Hemiptera; Aleyrodidae.